AUUGAACGCUGGCGGCAGGCCUAACACAUGCAAGUCGAACGAGUGGCGGACGGGUGAGUACUGUCUGGGAAACUGCCUGAUGGAGGGGGAUAACUACUGGAAACGGUAGCUAAUACCGCAUAACAUCAGAUGUGCCCAGAUGGGAUUAGCCAGUUGGUGGGGUAACGGCUCACCAAGGCCACGCGCCCUAGCUGGUCUGAGAGGAUGACCAGCCACACGGGAACGGAGACACGGUCCAAACUCCGACGGGAGGGAGCAGUGGGGAAUAUUGCACAAUGGGCGCAAGCCUGAUGCAGCCAUGCCGCGUGUAUGAAGAAGGCCUUCGGGUUUUAAAGUACUUUCAGCGGGGAGGCGUUACCCGCAGAAGAAGCACCGGCUAACUCCGUGCCAGCCGCCGCGGUAAUAC
Molecule: ribosomal RNA, 406 nt
Filed under: uncultured bacterium
Lineage: Bacteria
Description: partial 16S ribosomal RNA
Rfam family: Bacterial small subunit ribosomal RNA
Source: RNAcentral